This 2825-nucleotide ribosomal RNA is filed under the name Klebsiella pneumoniae. RNAcentral's name for it is "bacterial LSU rRNA". It matches the Rfam family "Bacterial large subunit ribosomal RNA". Lineage: Bacteria; Pseudomonadati; Pseudomonadota; Gammaproteobacteria; Enterobacterales; Enterobacteriaceae. The record is from RNAcentral.
GGGUUGUGAGGUUAAGCGACUAAGCGUACACGGUGGAUGCCCUGGCAGUCAGAGGCGAUGAAGGACGUGCUAAUCUGCGAAAAGCGUCGGUAAGGUGAUAUGAACCGUUAUAACCGGCGAUGUCCGAAUGGGGAAACCCAGUGCAAUUCGUUGCACUAUCGUUAACUGAAUACAUAGGUUAACGAGGCGAACCGGGGGAACUGAAACAUCUAAGUACCCCGAGGAAAAGAAAUCAACCGAGAUUCCCCCAGUAGCGGCGAGCGAACGGGGAGCAGCCCAGAGUCUGAAUCAGCUUGUGUGUUAGUGGAACGGUCUGGAAAGUCCGACGGUACAGGGUGAUAGUCCCGUACACCAAAAUGCACAGGUUGUGAACUCGAAGAGUAGGGCGGGACACGUGGUAUCCUGUCUGAAUAUGGGGGGACCAUCCUCCAAGGCUAAAUACUCCUGACUGACCGAUAGUGAACCAGUACCGUGAGGGAAAGGCGAAAAGAACCCCGGCGAGGGGAGUGAAAAAGAACCUGAAACCGUGUACGUACAAGCAGUGGGAGCACCUUCGGGUGUGACUGCGUACCUUUUGUAUAAUGGGUCAGCGACUUAUAUUCUGUAGCAAGGUUAACCGUAUAGGGGAGCCGCAGGGAAACCGAGUCUUAACUGGGCGUUAAGUUGCAGGGUAUAGACCCGAAACCCGGUGAUCUAGCCAUGGGCAGGUUGAAGGUUGGGUAACACUAACUGGAGGACCGAACCGACUAAUGUUGAAAAAUUAGCGGAUGACUUGUGGCUGGGGGUGAAAGGCCAAUCAAACCGGGAGAUAGCUGGUUCUCCCCGAAAGCUAUUUAGGUAGCGCCUCGUGAACUCAUCUUCGGGGGUAGAGCACUGUUUCGGCUAGGGGGUCAUCCCGACUUACCAACCCGAUGCAAACUACGAAUACCGAAGAAUGUUAUCACGGGAGACACACGGCGGGUGCUAACGUCCGUCGUGAAGAGGGAAACAACCCAGACCGCCAGCUAAGGUCCCAAAGUCAUGGUUAAGUGGGAAACGAUGUGGGAAGGCACAGACAGCCAGGAUGUUGGCUUAGAAGCAGCCAUCAUUUAAAGAAAGCGUAAUAGCUCACUGGUCGAGUCGGCCUGCGCGGAAGAUGUAACGGGGCUAAACCAUGCACCGAAGCUGCGGCAGCGACACUAUGUGUUGUUGGGUAGGGGAGCGUUCUGUAAGCCUGCGAAGGUGUGCUGUGAGGCAUGCUGGAGGUAUCAGAAGUGCGAAUGCUGACAUAAGUAACGAUAAAGCGGGUGAAAAGCCCGCUCGCCGGAAGACCAAGGGUUCCUGUCCAACGUUAAUCGGGGCAGGGUGAGUCGACCCCUAAGGCGAGGCCGAAAGGCGUAGUCGAUGGGAAACAGGUUAAUAUUCCUGUACUUGGUGUUACUGCGAAGGGGGGACGGAGAAGGCUAUGUUAGCCGGGCGACGGUUGUCCCGGUUUAAGCAUGUAGGCUGAUUGUCCAGGCAAAUCCGGAUAAUCAAGGCUGAGGUGUGAUGACGAGGCACUACGGUGCUGAAGUAACAAAUGCCCUGCUUCCAGGAAAAGCCUCUAAGCAUCAGGUAACAUUAAAUCGUACCCCAAACCGACACAGGUGGUCAGGUAGAGAAUACCAAGGCGCUUGAGAGAACUCGGGUGAAGGAACUAGGCAAAAUGGUGCCGUAACUUCGGGAGAAGGCACGCUGGUGUGUAGGUGAAGUCCCUGCGGAUGGAGCUGAGACCAGUCGAAGAUACCAGCUGGCUGCAACUGUUUAUUAAAAACACAGCACUGUGCAAACACGAAAGUGGACGUAUACGGUGUGACGCCUGCCCGGUGCCGGAAGGUUAAUUGAUGGGGUUAUCCGUAAGGAGAAGCUCUUGAUCGAAGCCCCGGUAAACGGCGGCCGUAACUAUAACGGUCCUAAGGUAGCGAAAUUCCUUGUCGGGUAAGUUCCGACCUGCACGAAUGGCGUAAUGAUGGCCAGGCUGUCUCCACCCGAGACUCAGUGAAAUUGAACUCGCUGUGAAGAUGCAGUGUACCCGCGGCAAGACGGAAAGACCCCGUGAACCUUUACUAUAGCUUGACACUGAACAUUGAGCCUUGAUGUGUAGGAUAGGUGGGAGGCUUUGAAGCGUGGACGCCAGUCUGCGUGGAGCCAACCUUGAAAUACCACCCUUUAAUGUUUGAUGUUCUAACGUUGGCCCCUGACCGGGGUUGCGGACAGUGUCUGGUGGGUAGUUUGACUGGGGCGGUCUCCUCCCAAAGCGUAACGGAGGAGCACGAAGGUUAGCUAAUCCUGGUCGGACAUCAGGAGGUUAGUGCAAUGGCAUAAGCUAGCUUGACUGCGAGCGUGACGGCGCGAGCAGGUGCGAAAGCAGGUCAUAGUGAUCCGGUGGUUCUGAAUGGAAGGGCCAUCGCUCAACGGAUAAAAGGUACUCCGGGGAUAACAGGCUGAUACCGCCCAAGAGUUCAUAUCGACGGCGGUGUUUGGCACCUCGAUGUCGGCUCAUCACAUCCUGGGGCUGAAGUAGGUCCCAAGGGUAUGGCUGUUCGCCAUUUAAAGUGGUACGCGAGCUGGGUUUAGAACGUCGUGAGACAGUUCGGUCCCUAUCUGCCGUGGGCGCUGGAGAAUUGAGGGGGGCUGCUCCUAGUACGAGAGGACCGGAGUGGACGCAUCACUGGUGUUCGGGUUGUCAUGCCAAUGGCACUGCCCGGUAGCUAAAUGCGGAAGAGAUAAGUGCUGAAAGCAUCUAAGCACGAAACUUGCCCCGAGAUGAGUUCUCCCUGAGACUUUAAGUCUCCUGAAGGAACGUU